CCUACGGGUGGCAGCAGUGAGGAAUAUUGGCCAAUGGACGAGAGUCUGAACCAGCCAAGUAGCGUGAAGGAUGACUGCCCUAUGGGUUGUAAACUUCUUUUAUAAAGGAAUAAAACGAGGCACGUGUGCCUUUUUGCAUGUACUUUAUGAAUAAGGAUCGGCUAACUCCGUGCCAGCAGCCGCGGUAAUACGGAGGAUCCGAGCGUUAUCCGGAUUUAUUGGGUUUAAAGGGAGCGUAGAUGGGUUGUUAAGUCAGUUGUGAAAGUUUGCGGCUCAACCGUAAAAUUGCAAUUGAUACUGGCAGUCGUGAGUACAGUUGAGGUAGGCGGAAUUCGUGGUGUAGCGGUGAAAUGCUUAGAUAUCACGAAGAACCCCGAUUGCGAAGGCAGCUUACUAAACUGUGACUGACAUUGAUGCUCGAAAGUGUGGGUAUCAAACAGGAUUAGAUACCCUUGUAGUC
This 460-nucleotide ribosomal RNA is filed under the name uncultured bacterium. RNAcentral describes it as "partial 16S ribosomal RNA". It matches the Rfam family "Bacterial small subunit ribosomal RNA", at positions 338 to 795 of the family's 1533-position model. The record is from RNAcentral.